Molecule: ribosomal RNA, 496 nt
Filed under: uncultured bacterium
Lineage: Bacteria
Description: bacterial SSU rRNA
Rfam family: Bacterial small subunit ribosomal RNA
Source: RNAcentral
GAUGAACGCUAGCGGCAGGCUUAAUACAUGCAAGUUGAGGGGCAGCAUGAUAUACGCGAGUAUAUUGAUGGCGACCGGCGGACGGGUGAAUAAUAGGUAGGAGACCUACCUCAUACAGGGGGAUAGCAUAGAGAAAUCUGUGGUAAUACCCCAUGAGGUUAUAUGAAUAGAGGCAUAUAAUCAAAGCAUAAGCGAUUAUGCGGUAUGAGAGGGGCCUACUGACCAUUAGCUAGUUGGUGAGGUAAGGGCUCACCAAGGCGAAGAUGGUUAGGGGUUUUGAGAGAGAGACCCCCCACAUUGGAACUGAGAGACGGUCCAGACUCCUACGGGAGGCAGCAGUAGGGAAUAUUGGGCAAUGGGCGAAAGCCUGACCCAGCCAUGCCGCGUGAAGGAAGACGGCCUUAUGGGUUGUAAACUUCUUUACUACGCGAAUAGAGGUUAGUACGAGAUACUAAUAGGAAGGUAGUGUAGUAAAAAGCAACCGGCUAACUCCGUG